UUAGCGGAGUGGUCCUGCGGAGGGAUCAUUACCGAGUUUACAACUCCCAAACCCCUGUGAACAUACCUAUACGUUGCCUCGGCGGAUCAGCCCGCGCCCCGUAAAACGGGACGGCCCGCCCGAGGACCCCUAAACUCUGUUUUUAGUGGAACUUCUGAGUAAAACAAACAAAUAAAUCAAAACUUUCAACAACGGAUCUCUUGGUUCUGGCAUCGAUGAAGAACGCAGCAAAAUGCGAUAAGUAAUGUGAAUUGCAGAAUUCAGUGAAUCAUCGAAUCUUUGAACGCACAUUGCGCCCGCCAGUAUUCUGGCGGGCAUGCCUGUUCGAGCGUCAUUUCAACCCUCAAGCUCAGCUUGGUGUUGGGACUCGCGGUAACCCGCGUUCCCCAAAUCGAUUGGCGGUCACGUCGAGCUUCCAUAGCGUAGUAAUCAUACACCUCGUUACUGGUAAUCGUCGCGGCCACGCCGUUAAACCCCAACUUCUGAAUGUUGACCUCGGAUCAGGUAGGAAUACCCGCUGAACUUAAGCAUAUCAAAGUGGGAGGAAA
This 548-nucleotide ribosomal RNA is filed under the name Fusarium sp. IHB F 2357. RNAcentral's name for it is "eukaryotic LSU rRNA". The stretch from base 181 to 334 matches the Rfam family "5.8S ribosomal RNA". Lineage: Eukaryota; Fungi; Ascomycota; Sordariomycetes; Hypocreales; Nectriaceae. The record is from RNAcentral.